Pelobates cultripes (western spadefoot toad) is the source of this 924-nucleotide non-coding RNA. The record is from the annotation of a GenBank genome assembly. NCBI's taxonomy places the organism in Eukaryota, Metazoa, Chordata, Amphibia, Anura, Pelobatidae.
AGACAUAUUAAUACAUAAUACAAUAAUGUGAAGCAUUUGGUAAAAUUAAGUGUUCACAAGAGUGAAGCAUUAAUAUUUUUAAGCAGGAAGGUUCAACUGUGUCUGAAGAGCAGUCUGAGAGGUUAACUAGGCCAUAGUGAGGUAAGAUAGGUGUGUAUCGAGCGUAAAGAACCAUAUUUCCUAUAAGUGGGGGAUCAGGCCGUAUGCUUCAAUACCCCUAACCAAAGGGGGCUACGGGAGGGGGAUGGUAGGGGUGGGGGGUGCAGAGAGGGUGAAGGUGUGGAGCUAAACACCCGCUAAGACAAGCUAGGCCCUUAUCAUCAGUGCUCCGUAGGGUAAGGAGUCAGGUAUCGUAAAACCUCUUAUGAGGUUACUGCUGUUAUAGGUAGCUUGUAACAUGGAGAACAUAACAGUGGACAUAACAAUGAGCUGAAAUGGCUAGCUAAGUAUAAGAACCCGAACUGUGUUUAAGUACUGUCUUCCCUAGCAAGUUCAAGUCCCAGGUGUUAGGGUCAAUUUAUUAGCAGGGACAAAGGGGACAAUACGAGAUGGAUCCCAGGGAUGAGUGCUCUGCUGUCCACCAGGGUCAGAUGGAGGCACCGGUAGGCCUAAGGCUUAAACAAGGGCCUGUGAUUUGGCUAGUGUGGAUGCCUUGUGUACUGUUUCGCCAUGCGUGACCACGAGGAUCCUUGGUGACAUCCACCGGUAUUCUAUUCCAGCUGCUCUCUGUUGGCUAAUAACAGAGUCCGUCGCCAAUAGCAGAAUGGACCAAGUGAAGUUCUGGUAGAAUGUGAGGGUGUAAUGUUCGAAAGGGAAUAGUGUCUUGCCCUUCAGUGCUGCCAUUGGGAUUCUUUUGUCCUGGGAUAGCGAACAGUGAACAAUGACAUCUCGCACCGCAGAGGCCAGUGCCCCUCCUGAUUCAAU